UACGUAGGGUGCAAGCGUUAAUCGGAAUUACUGGGCGUAAAGCGUGCGCAGGCGGUUGUGCAAGUCAGAUGUGAAAUCCCCGGGCUUAACCUGGGAACUGCAUUUGUGACUGCACAGCUGGAGUGCGGCAGAGGGGGAUGGAAUUCCGCGUGUAGCAGUGAAAUGCGUAGAUAUGCGGAGGAACACCGGUGGCGAAGGCGGGUCUCUGGGCAACAACUGACGCUGAGGAGCGAAAGCGUGGGGAGCGAACAGG
Molecule: ribosomal RNA, 253 nt
Filed under: uncultured bacterium
Lineage: Bacteria
Description: partial 16S ribosomal RNA
Rfam family: Bacterial small subunit ribosomal RNA
Source: RNAcentral